This 511-nucleotide long non-coding RNA is filed under the name Mytilus galloprovincialis (Mediterranean mussel). The record is from RNAcentral. Lineage: Eukaryota; Metazoa; Mollusca; Bivalvia; Mytilida; Mytilidae.
AAAUGAUAUAUGUGUGACUGUCAUUCGGUUUCUUAUGGGGAGUUGUCAAGUGGCAAUCAUACCAAUUAAACUUCUUUUUUAUAGUCUGACAAUUGUUUUUUUACGUACGUUAGUCAGAGGUCGGAUUCAGGAUUUUUAAAGUUGGCGUAUGGCCAUAAAAGAGAAUGUAUGCCGCAGAGUGGAGCUUGGAAACAAUCUUAGACGAUUGUAUGCCAAAUGUUAUAUGUUUUUCCGAUCAAAAAGGGCGUAUUACCUUUACUUCAAUUAUACUGACAAAAUCUACGGAUUGUAACUCUUUCCUAACUUAUGAUGAACCACAGUUAUCUUUUUUCCUAUUAGAAAUUUAACAUGAGUUAUGCUUUUGCAAUGCUUAAAUAUUCGAGACUUUACAAGCGUUAGAUAUUCAAGUGGGAAAACAAAUUGCUGUACCUCUUUAUAACAACGUCGAAAAUAUACAAUAUACGAUUCUUCGCCAUGGCGGGCAAACAUAGCUAGAAUGCUACUUCAACAC